This is an RNA transcript of Xenopus laevis (African clawed frog), 2832 nucleotides long. It is a transcript of the gene named CCR4-NOT transcription complex subunit 10-A-like, with no coding region annotated. The transcript has 9 exons. The record is from RefSeq and is a predicted model, not a curated record. Lineage: Eukaryota; Metazoa; Chordata; Amphibia; Anura; Pipidae.
GACCCCACAAAAAAGAAAUAGAAACAAAUUUUCUCAUUCUUUUUUUUUUUCCCCAAUAAGAAGUAGGCGGUACGCGCAGAAACGGAUUACAUUUUGAAGGAAGAUUCUGACUGCGUAUUAAUUGAAUUACGGCGAAUAGUCCCUCCCACAAGGUAGCUACGUGAUGCGUCACUGCGCUUACGUGUAGCUGUGACGCCAGUCUCGCGUGAUGAGACUUGCGGCGCUGGGAUCUCCUGUAAGACGUGUGGAGCUAGGCGCUUACCCUAAACAUGUGUUCUUGAGCUUUUUCUGCUUGCUGUCUCGGGAAAAACACUGAAGGAACCUCUUAGUCCAAGAAGUUACUCACAGAGGAGUCCUAGACUAUAUCAGAGAAGAUUCAAGAAUGGCUGCAGACAAAGCAGGAGUGUGGUCUGGGCUGCUUAGGGAUCGUCAUAAACAAAGCUGCUUGAAUUCUGCAUGACUGAACAGGGAGUUGAAAAACACAAGGGCUCUGCUGAUUGGUCAAGCAUAUCUGACCAUGAGAAGGAAUUAUCAAGAAGUGCAUUACAAGCAUUUACAGCUGGUAAUUAUGAAGCCUGUCUACAGCAUCUAGGAGAACUUAAAGAAAUCAACAAAGAUGAUUAUAAAGUAUUCCUGAACUCCUGCUGUAGCUGAGUUGUAUAAGAGUGGCCAAACAACUACUGACCUGUUGAAGCAAACACUUAACCAUUAAUGAAUGAGGUAGGCGUAUUUGUCUGAAAUCUCCUAGAUCGUCUCCUCAAAGCCCUACAGGACCGUUUACACCACACAGACAAGAAGAGAAAUUUGCGCAUGCCGUAUGCUUUCUGCCUGUAGAUUUAUAUCUUCUGACAUUCCAAACGGAAAAAGCCUUGCACCUGUUGGUGGUUCUUGAAAAAAUUAUUUUACAGGGGCACAGCAAUAAUAAAAAUGGUAAAAAUCAUGAGACAAACAGCAAUGCUAAUAAUAAAGAACCCUUUGCCCAGAGGGGUGAUGGCGGAGUUCAUGUAGAAGCAGCAAAAUCUAAAAUUCAUCGGGUUGAAUUCUCCUUUAAGCAGCUAAAGCUCAUCAUCAAGCCAGGAAUUCAAACGUAACACCUGCUUGAAGGUCACUGGGAGCAACAUCCAACGAGCCACUGGUUGGGGAUCACUGCUCUACUUACGGUUAGGCUCCUAGAUGGAUACAAUUAUUAUACAUGUUUCAUAUGGUAUGAUCACACCCUUCUUAUGUUUAUAUUAUCUUUAUUUCAGUGUGGGUGAUAUCUCACUACCUCAGCAGUCCAAGGACAGAAUGGCAGAAAAAAGAGCAUUUCUGAUCCAAAUGAAAGAAGAGGCCACAGUAGAAUUUGAAUACAAUGAAAAUUCUUGUUAUACUGCUACUCCAUUAACAUAGAUAUUAUUUUGAGGCAUGAAGAUAAACAGAAAUAUCCUUUAUUUACCGAGUAGCAGCACAUUUUUGCCAAACGGUAGCUUAGAGCGUGACCGUGUUGAGACUUCACUCAGAAUGGAGGACCUGCACAGAAAGAAAACAAGAUGAGAAAUGCGUUUGAUACACUUAGCAUGUCCUGCCACUGCUAAACAAACUCAUGUCCAAUGGCAAAUGCUGUAUCUACUGUGAUAUGUUUAUUAGUGUCUGCAAUUUGAUCUCAUUAGCUUUUGAGGCUAGUAAAGGCCUCAUUAUGAUGCCUAGUCCAGUUUAAGAAAAGCAGCAGAGAUGUGUUACUGUGCUUUUUACUUUAUUUUGCUCCAUUAUGAUCCUCUGUGGGUCCCAAUGACCUGUUUUAGCUGCUUGACACAGAAUUGCACAGGUUUUAGGUUGCCUGGAGAGUGGAGCUCCUUAGACAAGAGUCCUUUCUCAUUGCUCUGCUGCUGCACCCCACAAGAACUACUGUAUAUGUUUACAGGUUGUACAGUUCCCACCUUGCUUAGUUUUACUAGACACCCUUCUCAUCUUCCCGGAAGUAUACGUCAUAGAUAUAUUGGAUUGUCUUAAGUGUUUUCCACUGCCUUUCAUAUGGUUAUUACUUAUUAAAGACCAAAGAAAUUCGGAUGCACACCUGUAAGUUGCAAUUGUGUCCAAACGGUGAUUUAUUUGAAGCCCAGAGUAUACAUCACAAAGGGGCAACAUUUCUGACCCCUCCGGGUCCUUUAUCAAGAGGCUUGAUAAAGGACCCGGAGGGGUCCGAAAAGUUGCCCCUUUGUGCUGUAUACUCUGGGCUUCAAAUAAAUCACCGUUUGGACACAAUUGCAACUUACAGGUGUGCAUCCGAAUUUCUUUUGUCAUUUACCCAUUGACCCUUAUGCGAGGGAAGGGUCUUCUGGAUAAGCACCCUACACUUACAAGUGUGUUGGGAUUAGGUUGAGCUCUCCAUGUUCAUGCAUCGUAUUACUUAUUAAAGAGGCAAUAUGUCUUGAUAAGAGCAAAGGAAUACAGCAAAUACACAAGCAUUUGUUAAAGUGCAGUCUUCCUUUUGGGCCAAUCAGAUGCAUGAGUUUAUAGACUGGCAGAACAUCAGCCAAAGUGAUUCAUAUCAGAAGAGGGGAAAAUAAAACACACAAGUUUAAGAGCCAACACCCACACAGCAGUGAAAAUAAAUGUAUUUGUGAUAUUUCUUUUUUUUUUUUAUACAUUUGACUCAAACAUCACGUACAGACACGUUGGCUGAAAUUUCUAUCUUUUAGUAUUUUGCAUAUGGAAGGAAUCUCAGGCACUUUAUUUUAGUUUUUUGUUUUUAAAUUAACUUUUUUUUUAAAAAAAAAAAAUAGAAAAAUGCUGUGUGCUUGUCAGCCAAUUGCUUAGCUACAGAACAACUGUAAUAAAGAAACAAAGGAAGUA